RNAcentral lists this ribosomal RNA (395 nucleotides) under uncultured bacterium. RNAcentral describes it as "bacterial SSU rRNA". It matches the Rfam family "Bacterial small subunit ribosomal RNA", at positions 29 to 412 of the family's 1533-position model. The record is from RNAcentral.
AACGAACGCUGGCGGCGCGCCUAAUACAUGCAAGUCGAGCGAGAAGACGUAGCAAUACGUUUGUAAAGCGGCGAACGGGUGAGGAAUACAUGGGUAACCUACCCUCGAGUGGGGAAUAACUAGCCGAAAGGUUAGCUAAUACCGCGUACGCUCCUUGGACUUCGGUUCAGGGAGGAAAGCGAUACCGUGGGUAUCGCGCUCUUGGAUGGGCUCAUGUCCUAUCAGCUUGUUGGUGAGGUAACGGCUCACCAAGGCUUCGACGGGUAGCUGGUCUGAGAGGACGAUCAGCCACACUGGCACUGCGACACGGGCCAGACUCCUACGGGAGGCAGCAGUAAGGAAUAUUGCGCAAUGGGCGAAAGCCUGACGCAGCGACGCCGCGGUGGGGGAGUGAA